Molecule: ribosomal RNA, 509 nt
Filed under: uncultured marine bacterium
Lineage: Bacteria
Description: bacterial SSU rRNA
Rfam family: Bacterial small subunit ribosomal RNA
Source: RNAcentral
GCUGGCGGCGUGCCUAAUACAUGCAAGUCGAGCGGAUCGAUGGGAGCUUGCUCCCUGAGAUCAGCGGCGGACGGGUGAGUAACACGUGNNUAACCUGCCUGUAAGACUGGGAUAACUCCGGGAAACCGGGGCUAAUACCGGAUAACACCUACCCCCGCAUGGGGGAAGGUUGAAAGGUGGCUUCGGCUAUCACUUACAGAUGGACCCGCGGCGCAUUAGCUAGUUGGUGAGGUAAUGGCUCACCAAGGCGACGAUGCGUAGCCGACCUGAGAGGGUGAUCGGCCACACUGGGACUGAGACACGGCCCAGACUCCUACGGGAGGCAGCAGUAGGGAAUCUUCCGCAAUGGACGAAAGUCUGACGGAGCAACGCCGCGUGAGUGAAGAAGGUUUUCGGAUCGUAAAACUCUGUUGUUAGGGAAGAACAAGUGCCGUUCGAAUAGGGCGGCGCCUUGACGGUACCUAACCAGAAAGCCACGGCUAACUACGUGCCAGCAGCCGCGGUAAUAC